AUUGAACGCUGGCGGCAGGCCUAACACAUGCAAGUCGAGCGGUGCGGCCGACGGGUGAGUAAUUCCUAGGAAUCUGCCUGGUCUUGGGGGAACACGUCCGUAAACGGGCGCUAAUUCCGCAUACUAUCAGAUGAGCCUAGGUCGGAUUAGCUAGUUUGUGGGGUAUAGGCCUACCAAGGCGACGAUCCGUAACUGGUCUGAGAGGAUGAUCAGUCACACUGGAACUGAGACGCGGUCCAGACUAAUAUGUGAGGCAGCAGUGGGGAAAAUUGGAUAAGGGGAGGAAGGCUGGUCCAGCCCUGCCGCGUGUGUGAAAAAGGUCUUGGGAUUGUAAAGGACUUUAAGUUGGGAGGAGGUACCAACAGAAUAAGCACCGGCUAACUUCGUGCCAGCAGCCGCGGUAAUAC
This 407-nucleotide ribosomal RNA is filed under the name uncultured bacterium. RNAcentral's name for it is "partial 16S ribosomal RNA". It matches the Rfam family "Bacterial small subunit ribosomal RNA", at positions 30 to 526 of the family's 1533-position model. The record is from RNAcentral.